Paramacrobiotus metropolitanus is the source of this 614-nucleotide long non-coding RNA. RefSeq lists it as uncharacterized. The record is from RefSeq and is a predicted model, not a curated record. The transcript has 3 exons. NCBI's taxonomy places the organism in Eukaryota, Metazoa, Tardigrada, Eutardigrada, Parachela, Macrobiotidae.
CGCAGGCCUUGAUCGCUGGACAAAAUUGCACGUUCCUUUAAUAAUCCACGAUAAUCCAUUUCCUAAGCUAAUGCCACGUAUAUUUGGAUGCGUGUACGAAAGAAAACUAUAUCUAAACUAUCGCAACAAAAACAGCGGUGGUGUGCAUCCUACUUCGUCUUGUGCGCUUACCAUGAAUUCCGAUGGCCUGGAUGAUAUCGCUGCCGCAACUAAAGACAAAAUGCGGACAUUGAGUCGGGUAGCUAUUUUGACCAUGGAUAACGAGAUAACCGACAUCGAUAACACUGUUUUCACACUUCUGGAGCAAGCGCAGCAACGUGCAUCCAAAGAUGUUCGGAAACUGCUUCAUUUUGGCGAAGAAGGAUGCCGUGAACUGACUAAUGCGGUUAAUGACAAAUACGAAAUCAUCAAACCAAAACUAUUAUCAGCGGGGAUGGUUAGCUGCACUCACCGAAUUGCAACCUUAUACUCUAUACUGUCGUCUGUUGGGGAUAUGAUUGCCCGUAAAGUUGCUUGCGAGUACGACCAAGAAGAAGCUCUCCAGUGCCUGCUACGGCAUAUUUCAAAAGCCGCGCCAUAUCAAACUUUACCGCGCAAUGGUUUGACCGCGCGUA